This is a non-coding RNA of Caenorhabditis elegans, 135 nucleotides long. The record is from Ensembl. Lineage: Eukaryota; Metazoa; Nematoda; Chromadorea; Rhabditida; Rhabditidae.
AGAAAAAGCAGGAGGAGCGAGAGAAAGGGUGGCGCAACAUCAAGUUCCAGGCAGAUAUUUUCCUCUGCGACCGCCUGUGUGUUUAUUUGUGGUUGUGCUUCUUAUUCUUCUCUCUAUCGUUCUGUAUCUCAGUGU